UGUAAGCGUAUACCAAAGUUGUUGCAGUUAAAACGCUCGUAGUCGGAAUUUGGCAGUUCCGGAAGUGUGCACGUCGUGUGCGCACUUUGCGGGGACUGCUUUUGUGGUCUUGCGUAGGAUGAGGCACUUUCAUUAGUGAACGUCCUCACGCAACCACUCUUUACUGCGAGAAAAUCAGAGUGCUCAAAGCAGGCAUUUGCCGUGAAUGUAUUAGCAUGGAAUAAUAGAAUAGGACUCGGUUCUAUUUUGUUGGUUUGUUGGGACUGAGUAAUGAUUAAGAGGGACAGUUGGGGGCAUUUGUAUUCCGGCGCUAGAGGUGAAAUUCUUAGAUUGCCGGAAGACAAACUGCUGCGAAAGCGUCUGCCAAGGAUGUUUUCAUUGA
RNAcentral lists this ribosomal RNA (382 nucleotides) under uncultured eukaryote. RNAcentral describes it as "partial 18S ribosomal RNA". It matches the Rfam family "Eukaryotic small subunit ribosomal RNA", at positions 592 to 976 of the family's 1831-position model. The record is from RNAcentral.